AGCUUACCAUAUUGUGUCUUCAAAACAGCCAAAUGGCAACAUGGGUAUCUAAUCAUCAAAGUCGUUCUCUUACAUCAUCACUCGAGUUGCGCGCCUAUAUAUACACUACAAUUUCACCUCCCUUAUCCUCCAUCCUAGCUCAUUGAAAAUAUCUUAACCAUUGUUUAAUUUCCACAACAUGGUCUCCGCACCCCUCAUUUUUUUCUCGCUUCUCUUCUUGGGUUUUUCUUGGCACACCAGCAAGGCCCUGGAGCCAUUUGCCUGCGACCCAAAAGAUGAAGUGACGAGGAACUUGCCCUUUUGCCAAGCGAAGUUGCCCAUACAGGAUAGAGUUAAGGACCUCAUUGGCAGGUUGACAUUGUCAGAGAAGGUUGGGUUGCUAGUUAAUAAUGCUGCUGCAGUUUCCCGGCUUGGGCUUGACGGCUAUGAAUGGUGGUCUGAGGCUCUU
This 448-nucleotide unclassified non-coding RNA is filed under the name Hevea brasiliensis (rubber tree). The record is from RNAcentral. Lineage: Eukaryota; Viridiplantae; Streptophyta; Magnoliopsida; Malpighiales; Euphorbiaceae.